Lethenteron reissneri (Far Eastern brook lamprey) is the source of this 480-nucleotide long non-coding RNA. RefSeq lists it as uncharacterized. The record is from RefSeq and is a predicted model, not a curated record. Lineage: Eukaryota; Metazoa; Chordata; Hyperoartia; Petromyzontiformes; Petromyzontidae.
AUAUGGAUGAUUGUUCCACAGGGGAUGCAACAACAACAACAACAAACGUAGAAAACUCAAAGUACGACGACGACGAUGAUGAUGAUGAGAACAACAAUCGAACGAGAACCACAAAAUACCGACAAACACAACAAGCCCAGCCGGCCGACCGCCAAGCGGAGCCUGCAACUGCAGCGGGCGCGUGGCUCGAAAUGAAAGCCGCGGCAAAUGAGGGGCGCACGGGCGGACUUGCGAGCCCUCCCCCCGUCUCCAGCGCACGCGAAGCUCAUCAAUCACCGGCGGCGAGCGAGAGUUCGGGUUUGUCGAGGGCUUAUCGGCUCGCGAGGAGUCGUCUCGUUCCUCGAUUCACUUCACUGUCACGUGUUGACGUGCGCGACGCUCGAGACGCAGCAUCUGCGGCGGAUCGCCUCGCCAGAUCGCGCGCUCUGGCCACGGUUACGGACCAAUACGCCCCAGGGAGGACGAGGAUUUGGACGAAGC